This 497-nucleotide ribosomal RNA is filed under the name uncultured bacterium. Its description in RNAcentral is "partial 16S ribosomal RNA". It matches the Rfam family "Bacterial small subunit ribosomal RNA", at positions 28 to 507 of the family's 1533-position model. The record is from RNAcentral.
GAUGAACGCUGGCGGCGUGCCUAAUACAUGCAAGUCGAGCGAACAGACGAGGAGCUUGCUCCUCUGACGUUAGCGGCGGACGGGUGAGUAACACGUGGAUAACCUACCUAUAAGACUGCGAUAACUUCGGGAAACCGGAGCUAAUACCGGAUAAUCUAUUGAACCGCAUGGUUCAAUAGUGAAAGACGGUUUUGCUGUCACUUAUCGAUGGAUCCGCGCCGCAUUAGCUAGUUGGUAAGGUAACGGCUUACCAAGGCAACGAUGCGUAGCCGACCUGAGAGGGUGAUCGGCCACACUGGAGCUGAGACACGGUCCAGACUCCUACGGGAGGCAGCAGUAGGGAAUCUUCCGCAAUGGGCGAAAGCCUGACGGAGCAACGCCGCGUGAGUGAUGAAGGUCUUCGGAUCGUAAAACUCUGUUAUUAGGGAAGAACAAAUGUGUAAGUAACUAUGCACGCCUUGACGGUACCUAAUCAGAAAGCCACGGCUAACUACGUG